UUACGGCCAGAUCAUAUUGAAACACUAGUUCCCGCACGAUCACCGAAGUUAAGCAACGUCGAGCUUGAUCAGUACCUAGAUGGGUGACCACUUGGAAAUAUCAG
Acanthosepion pharaonis is the source of this 104-nucleotide non-coding RNA. Lineage: Eukaryota; Metazoa; Mollusca; Cephalopoda; Sepiida; Sepiidae. The record is from the annotation of a GenBank genome assembly.